This 515-nucleotide ribosomal RNA is filed under the name uncultured Gram-positive bacterium. RNAcentral's name for it is "bacterial SSU rRNA". It matches the Rfam family "Bacterial small subunit ribosomal RNA", at positions 8 to 521 of the family's 1533-position model. The record is from RNAcentral.
AGAGUUUGAUCCUGGCUCAGGAUGAACGCUGGCGGCGUGCUUAACACAUGCAAGUCGAACGAAGCAUUUAAGACAGAUUACUUCGGUUUGAAGUCUUUUAUGACUGAGUGGCGGACGGGUGAGUAACGCGUGGGUAACCUGCCUCAUACAGGGGGAUAGCAGCUGGAAACGGCUGGUAAUACCGCAUAAGCGCACAGUACCACAUGGUACAGUGUGAAAAACUCCGGUGGUAUGAGAUGGACCCGCGUCUGAUUAGCUUGUUGGCGGGGUAACGGCCCACCAAGGCGACGAUCAGUAGCCGACCUGAGAGGGUGACCGGCCACAUUGGGACUGAGACACGGCCCAGACUCCUACGGGAGGCAGCAGUGGGGAAUAUUGCACAAUGGAGGAAACUCUGAUGCAGCGACGCCGCGUGAGUGAAGAAGUAGUUCGCUAUGUAAAGCUCUAUCAGCAGGGAAGAUAGUGACGGUACCUGACUAAGAAGCUCCGGCUAAAUACGUGCCAGCAGCCGCGGU